Momordica charantia (bitter melon) is the source of this 4116-nucleotide RNA transcript. It is a transcript of the gene named lysine-specific demethylase JMJ13, with no coding region annotated. The record is from RefSeq and is a predicted model, not a curated record. Lineage: Eukaryota; Viridiplantae; Streptophyta; Magnoliopsida; Cucurbitales; Cucurbitaceae.
UAUGCCUUUCGCUCCCUUUUCCUCUCUUUCAUUUUCUACUGUUCUCUCCCUCCAGUUUCUCUUUCGCCGGUGAAUCUCUCUCUCCCUUUUUGUUUCUCUCGCCGGAAAAGUGCUCGCCGUCUCCGCCCUCCGCCGCCUGCACCCUAGAGGAAUCUCUCUUUAUUGCCGCUUGCGUGUUUUCGUCGUUUUCCUUCGAUUCGGUUCCGGAACCUCUGGAUCUCUGAAUCUGACUCUGCUUCUUGUUUUUCUUCGUCUCUUUCGAGAAUGUGGUCCGCCUGCGCCUCCUUCCGCCGUCGCGCUUGACUGCUCCCGCUAGGAUUGUGAUCUAGGGUUUCGGUUUCUGGAUUUUGGAUUUCUUUUGACUGUUUUUCUGCUGGUGUUUGGUGAAGUAACGAAGACGGAGGCGUGUAAGAAUAAGAAGCAGCUCCGGGAUGAGAUGGUGGAGGGAAGAAUUUGUUCUUUGAAAGAGGAAAGAAAUGGGUUAGGUUUUUUGAAGCGCAAGAGGCUUCGGCUAACAAAUUCUGAAACUGCCAACAAAAGUAUAGCUGUCAAGGAUAUGAUGAAUAGAAGUGGAGGUGAUGCUUUAAGGGCCUCAGCUCCAUGUGGUGUGAGAUUACUUGGUGGUAACGCAGAAACUUUUUCUUGUUCGAGUGGCAUGUCAGAUGAGAGGGAUGUCUUUUCAAAAAGGAGAGUAGACAAGUUCGAAUACAAUGAUUUAGAGUGGACCGAGAAGAUUCCAGAGUGCCCUGUAUAUUCUCCGUCAAAGGAGGAGUUUGAGGAUCCUUUGGUCUAUUUGCAAAAGAUUGCUCCUGAAGCCUCAAAAUAUGGCAUAUGCAAGAUUGUUUCCCCACUGACUGCUUCUGUUCCUGCUGGGGCUGUAUUAAUGAAGGAGAAACCGGGGUUCAAGUUUACAACAAGAGUACAACCUUUCCGAUUUGCUGAAUGGAAUAAUGAUGACCAAGUUACCUUUUACAUGAGCGGCAGGAAUUAUACAUUUCGGGAUUUUGAAAAAAUUGCGAACAAGAUAUAUGCUCGUAGAUAUAGUAGUUCUGGAUGUCUACCUGCCACAUAUCUCGAAAAGGAAUUUUGGCGUGAAAUUGCUUGUGGAAAGACAGAAAGUGUUGAAUAUGCUUGCGAUGUUGAUGGUAGUGCCUUUUCAUCUUCACCAUCUGAUGAGCUUGGGACAAGUAAAUGGAAUUUGAAGAAUCUUUCACGGCUACCCAAGUCCAUAUUGCGCCUUCUGGAAACCCCAAUACCGGGAGUAACGGACCCCAUGCUUUAUAUUGGAAUGCUGUUUAGUAUGUUUGCUUGGCAUGUGGAAGAUCAUUAUCUAUACAGUAUUAAUUAUCAUCAUUGUGGGGCAUCUAAAACUUGGUAUGGCAUUCCUGGUCAAGCAGCUUUGCAGUUUGAAAAUGUGGUUAGAGAACAUGUAUACACCCAUGAUAUCUUAUCGACCGGCGGAGAGGAUGGAGCUUUUGAUGUUCUUCUGGGGAAAACAACGUUGUUUCCACCAAAUAUUUUGUUGGAUCAUGACGUGCCUGUAUACAGAGCUGUCCAGAAACCUGGGGAAUUUGUAAUUACCUUCCCCAGAGCAUAUCAUGCUGGAUUUAGUCAUGGCUUCAAUUGUGGUGAGGCAGUCAACUUUGCAAUGGGUGAUUGGUUCCCCUUGGGAGCUGUUGCCAGCCAGCGGUAUGCACUCCUGAACAGGAUGCCUCUAAUUCCUUAUGAAGAACUUCUAUGUAAAGAAGCAAUGCUUCUCUACGCAAGUUCAGAACCAAAUUGUGCAUCUGCAGAGUUAGCCUCUCAUCAUUCUAUUAAGACAUCUUUUGUAAGUAUGAUUCGCUUCCAGCAUCGUGCUCGAUGGUGUUUGAUGAGGUCAAGAGGAUGCACCAGUAUUUCACCAAAUUGCGAUGGAACCAUCAUUUGCAGCUUAUGCAAACGUGACUGCUAUAUAUCUUAUAUUAGCAGUAGUUAUGGACAUCCAGUGUGUCUUCGUCAUGAUAUCGAGUUGCUGGACUUCUCUCGUGGUAGCAACCGUACACUCUUCUUGUGUGGGGAUAUUUUAGAAAUGGAAUCCGCAGCUCAGAAAUUUGAGCAGGAAUGUGGAAUAUUGGAUGAGAUUCAGGGGCAAGCUUAUAAUGUUGAAGAGCUGUAUUCUUAUCCUCUGUUAAACUUGUUUAAAGUAGCUGAUGUGGAUGGAUAUACUCCUUAUUGCAAGAUAGAACUGCAGUUGAACUCUGAAACUGAGCGCGUUUCCAACAGCCAGCCUUCACUGAGUUGUGUCACUGAAAAUCAUAGACCUGAACCAUCAGAUCCUUCCCUCUCUUAUGAAGCAUCAACACUUUGUUCAGUUGUAGACUGUAAUGAAACAUUGUCCACCACCAGCCGUGUACAAAGGAAUUCAAGUAUUGAUUUCAGGAAUCAUGAUCCUGAACAGUCUUCUGAAAUUUCUAACUGUGUGCUUGAACCAUCGCAUAACAAUUGCUCAAGUACAUCUCCUGCCAAUGUACGUGCAUUUGAACCAACGUCUCUACAUCAAGAAAGUGACGAUUCUGAUGCAGAAAUUUUUAGGGUCAAGCGCCGCCCUCUGAAGCCAGAUAAAAAAUUUGGGAGUGAUGCCACAUCUUUAAAGCAUCUUGCUUGCCAGGAUGGCGGGAAACAAUUCAAGAGACUCCAAACUAAUGUGAAUUGCGGGCGACGAACGCCAUCCGAUUGCCAUGGAACUGACAAAUCACGUCAUAAAUUUAACCCUUCUACUGCUCACAAGCACUCUGCAGAAAGCGAUGCCAUUGACAGGUCUAACAGAGGGGGGAGUACCCUUCCCAUCUCUAUUAAGUUGAAGAGAUUCAACAACGAGAAGCUAAUUAACAGACAACGUGCCUAUGAACUCGACCACCGGAGAAGAGAAAGGUUUCAGCAUGAGAUGGGAAAGCCCAAAAGGGUACCACCCUCCGUAGAGACUGGGCCGAAGCGCCUCAAAAUCAGAGGCCCAGAGCAAGUUUAAUGGAUCAGAAUGGGCCUGAAUCUGGGCUGUUGUGGUGGCCUUUGCCUUGCCUCGCUCUGUGUACAGCAGCAUAUGACAGAGCCUGACUUUGCUAAUCUUAUUUUUCACUAAUGGAAGGGGGGUUCUAACAACACACGAAGGAAAGCCAUAGAUGAUUGAUGAUUAGUCUUCUGGGAGCAGUGACACAACAAAACUUUUAACCUAGGAUGCAACAUUUUAACAUUCUUUGUGCAGGCCUCAAAAAAUAGGGGCCGUGUGCACGCAUGGGUUGUGAUGAUUCGAUUCUUGACGUAUCCCACGUCGGUACCGGGCCAUUUCUCCGCCUUCCCGGGACAACCUUGCUGCAGCAGCACAGAGAGAGACAAUUUUUGGGUCUGAUUAUCUUGUGGAGGCAAAGGCAAAAGCUCCUCCUCCUUACUCCCAGUUCCAGGUAUAAAAGGGAUAUAUGAAUGGAUGAUUAUAUAAUUAUAUUCUUUGUGGAGGGCGGUUGGGUGGGACCCCUUUUUUCUUAAGAUAAAAAGAGAAUAUUUGAGUUUGAAUGGUGGGAAGGUUUAGGACUAGAAUUUUUAGAAUGAGAAAAGAACCUUUUUUUUCUUCUUAAAAUAGCUUUCUUCUUCAAUGGUGGGUAGGAUUGUGUUCAGUCUAUAUUUAGUUUGAGUUUGUUUAAUUAGGUUAUAUGAUAAACAUUUUCAAGAUCUACUUACUAAUAAAAUUGUACAAAACAACAAGAAUUUUUGAAAAUAGAGAACUAAAAAUGAAAUGGGCAUUGAACGACACAUAAACUAUCCUUAUGAGACUCUUAUGAAACUUAUUAUCAAGCUCUGAAAAACCAAGGGUGCUUAGAUGCGAUUUGAGGAAGUUGAUUUUAUUUGAAAAAGGAAAAGGAAAGAGACAAUGGGUAAUGGUUUCUUUUCAAAGAGAUCUUGCGUGUAUCUUUCACUCGUUAAUUUAUUCUUUUUUCUUUUUUUUUUUCUCUCAUAGGUUUAUUGAAUACGUAAUUUGAGGUUAGCUUUUGCACCACAAGUCUUUGCAAAAGAUUCAUAAUGUUUCAUCUUUUUGUUGGUUUCUCACCUUUUUUUGCUUAAAAUGGUGGCAAUCUAUCACUUCGCCAA